UAACAGUAGUAGGUUCAACAGGAGGUGCAGUA
This 32-nucleotide non-coding RNA is filed under the name Syntrophotalea carbinolica DSM 2380. The record is from RNAcentral. Lineage: Bacteria; Pseudomonadati; Thermodesulfobacteriota; Desulfuromonadia; Desulfuromonadales; Syntrophotaleaceae.